AGAGUUUGAUCCUGGCUCAGAAUGAACGUUGGCGGCGUGGAUUACCGCAUGCAAGUCGUACGCCCCGCAAGGGGCGUGGCGCAAGGGUGAGUAAGGCGACGGCAACCAACCCCGCGGCCGGGCAUAGCCACUCGAAAGGGUGGGUAAUUCCCGAUGCCCCAGAGUGAUGGCAUCACCAUCCUGGGAAAGGUGAGAUUCCGCCGUGGGACGGACCGUCGUGGUAUCAGCUUGUUGGCGGGGUAAUGGCCCACCAAGGCUAUGACGCCUACCGGGCGUGCGAGCGUGGCCCGGCACACUGGGACUGAGACACUGCCCAGACUCCUACGGGAGGCUGCAGUCGAGAAUCUUCGGCAAUGGGCGCAAGCCUGACCGAGCGACGCCGCGUGGAGGACGAAGGCCUUCGGGUUGUAAACUCCUGUCGAGGGGGAACAAGGGGUGGUGCAGAGCCAUCCUUGAGUGAACCCUGGAGGAAGCACGGGCUAAGUUCGUGCCAGCAGCCGCGGUAAGACGAACCGUGCGAACGUUAUUCGGAAUCACUGGGCUUAAAGCGCGUGUAGGCGGCCCGGCACGUCCGUCGCUGAAAU
Molecule: ribosomal RNA, 584 nt
Filed under: uncultured Planctomycetota bacterium
Lineage: Bacteria; Pseudomonadati; Planctomycetota
Description: bacterial SSU rRNA
Rfam family: Bacterial small subunit ribosomal RNA
Source: RNAcentral